RNAcentral lists this ribosomal RNA (484 nucleotides) under uncultured bacterium. RNAcentral describes it as "partial 16S ribosomal RNA". It matches the Rfam family "Bacterial small subunit ribosomal RNA", at positions 30 to 507 of the family's 1533-position model. The record is from RNAcentral.
AUUGAACGCUGGCGGCAGGCCUAACACAUGCAAGUCGAGCGGAUGAAGGGAGCUCGCUCCUGGAUUCAGCGGCGGACGGGUGAGUAAUUCCUAGGAAUCUGCCUGGUAGUGGGGGAUAACGUCCGGAAACGGGCGCUAAUACCGCAUACGUCCUGAGGGAGAAAGUGGGGGAUCUUCGGACCUCACGCUAUCAGAUGAGCCUAGGUCGGAUUAGCUAGUUGGUGGGGUAAAGGCCUACCAAGGCGACGAUCCGUAACUGGUCUGAGAGGAUGAUCAGUCACACUGGAACUGAGACACGGUCCAGACUCCUACGGGAGGCAGCAGUGGGGAAUAUUAGACAAUGGGCGAAAGCCUGAUCCAGCCAUGCCGCGUGUGUGAAGAAGGUCUUCGGAUUGUAAAGCACUUUAAGUUGGGAGGAAGGGCAGUAAGUUAAUACCUUGCUGUUUUGACGUUACCAACAGAAUAAGCACCGGCUAACUUCGUG